RNAcentral lists this small nuclear RNA (162 nucleotides) under Helianthus annuus (common sunflower). RNAcentral describes it as "U2 spliceosomal RNA". It matches the Rfam family "U2 spliceosomal RNA". From Rfam's summary of the family: U2 is a small nuclear RNA (snRNA) component of the spliceosome (involved in pre-mRNA splicing). Complementary binding between U2 snRNA (in an area lying towards the 5' end but 3' to hairpin I) and the branchpoint sequence (BPS) of the intron results the bulging out of an unpaired adenosine, on the BPS, which initiates a nucleophilic attack at the intronic 5' splice site, thus starting the first of two transesterification reactions that mediate splicing. Lineage: Eukaryota; Viridiplantae; Streptophyta; Magnoliopsida; Asterales; Asteraceae. The record is from RNAcentral.
AUACCUUUCUCGGCCUUUUGGCUAAGAUCAAGUGUAGUAUCUGUUUUUAUCAGUUUAAUAUCUGAUAUGUGGGCCAUCGGCCCACUCGAUAUUAAUCUUAUUUUUCAUGAGGAAAGGUCCAUCACAAUAGCUUGCUAUUGGGGUUUUUCAUGCGCACCCCUC